Molecule: microRNA precursor, 97 nt
Organism: Gorilla gorilla gorilla (western lowland gorilla)
Lineage: Eukaryota; Metazoa; Chordata; Mammalia; Primates; Hominidae
Gene: MIR561
Product: microRNA 561
Source: Ensembl
CUUCAUCCACCAGUCCUCCAGGAACAUCAAGGAUCUUAAACUUUGCCAGAGCUACAAAGGCAAAGUUUAAGAUCCUUGAAGUUCCUGGGGGAACCAU